GCGGCCGCGGGGACUGUAGGCUGCGACCUCGGCGUCCUGCUCCGGCUUCGGCCGCCGCCCCGCACACGUGCUUCCCCUUUGAUCUCGGCUCAGACUCUCUUCCUCCUCCCCUGGCCCGGCUUCCCGCCGGUCCUGGCCAGCCCCCCGCUCUCGGCCGAGGCCGGAACCCUUCCCCCUGACCCGCGGGCCGGCCUCUGGCCUCGCGCCCGGCCGCCAGCACGCCUCUCCCUCCGCGCCGGCCGCGAAAGGACGGGCGAGGGCGGACGUCCGGCGCGCGGGCAGCUGCUCCCUUCCCUGCGGUGCCCACCGGGGACCCCGCUCCCGGGCCCAGGACGCAGGAGCUCCGCGCGCACACGCGUGCCCUCCCCGCACGUUCCUUUCAGGCGUUCCCUUCCGCCCAGCGCUGACCUGCGACGCUGUCACCGGGGAGAGCGGCGCACGUGGGGAGAGGAUGCCAGAAGUGACGGGCGUGUGGCGCGGCAGGAGACGCGUCUAACCCUAAUCCCGCAUCUGUUAUGCGCCCACCGGACACUGUGAAAAUAGUGAAGGAUAAGGCCUCAGCACCUGCCCUCUCAGAGCUUGCCAUUUAGCUGGGAAGACUCGGUCUGUGGAGGAGCAUCGCCAGAAAGUGGGGAGUCUGGGUCUUAAACACGCCAGGUGGGUUUAGUCUCGUGAUGGAUUACAACAGCGGUGCCAGUUGUGGAGGUCACGGUAUCGCAUUUGGGCUGUAUCACUGGGCUUCUGUUUGGAAGUCUUCAGAACACACUGGCUUAAUGCAGGGUGUAAUCACAUACCUCUGUCAUCCACCUUGUUGGGAAGUUGAAACCAAAGGACUUCUGCCCUUUUCCAAAAAUCAGAUCCAACCUCAGCCUUAUCUCUUAACCCUGUGUUGUCCUGGGGUCCAGAUCUUAUCUCCCUUACCAAACAGAAACUUACUUGGAGACACAGUAAAUGUCCAAUUUAUCUUAUCUUUCACCCAGCUCCAGCUUGGUGCCUGGGAUAGAUAAAUGCCUAAUAAAUGUUAAGUUAAAACCAAAAAAAAAAAAAAAAAAAAAACCAAAAAAAAACAGAAACCUACUACCACAGAGGAUCUUGAAAGUGCUAUAAAUGCUGAAGUUGUUUCCAAGAGAGGUGUUCCAAAGGUGUUUUGAGUGAUCACAGUAUCACUGGACAAAGUAUCCAAUCUCUUAAGGUGAAGACUUUGAAGGAAGCAGGUCUCAUUUGGAUAUAAAUUCUGGUCUGCUUGUUAAAUGAUGCUUCACGUCAGGGCUUGGUCACACCUCGUCCACAUGAAAAGUCUGCAGCGCAGGACAGUGUGCAGGCACCGAAUGACGCACAAACGGUAAGCACUGGCUACUUAGUGUAACAACCAUCUGUUGUGUCCGUGAGCUUUGAGCACCAUAGGGGAACCCAAGGGAAUGCACAGUGAAAUCCAAGUUGCAGAGGCGACGUGCUCUAGCUCUUGAAGGAUAAAUGAGAGUUCGCUGAAUUGAGUCUGGAAGACUCACUAAGGCUGGUAGCCUGUACACGAGGGGAGUUUAGGAAAAGUCUAGUAAGCUGGUGUGGCUGGAGAACAGGAGGCGGGGAGGAUGGAUUACAACAGCGGUGCCAGUUGUGAAGAUCACUGUAUCCCGUGCUGAAGAGGGGGCAUCCAAAGGGCCCUUGAGACACAAGUGUGACAUAAUCGGCACCUCCAUCAGAAAGACCCCCCUCGACUAGACUGCAGGUGUUAGGGCUGGAUUGGAGAGUCAGGGUAGUGGUCCUGAGGCUGAGGAUGAGGGAAGGGGUCCAGGAAAUAGUCCAGAAGCAAAAUCAACAGAAAUGGUGACUAAGUUGGCUGUGAGGUGAGAGAGGAGACAAAAAUCACUGAGCUUUGACAGCUGAACGAUUGGUGGUACCAUUAACAAAGAUAAGAACUCAAACAAAGAGAGGACUAUGUUGGAUUGGAAGGUCAGUCCAGCUGGACUCAGAGGGGUGGGAGGAAGGUAGGACGGAGUCCCUUGGAGACAGGAAAGCAGCCUUCGGGCAGCCCACUCAGCACACACUGCUGAGAGGGUAUUUGGAGAUCAGACUGGCUUAUUCCCUCCAGACCCUAACUAUCCAAGACCAUAAAGGAUCAGAACCUCAGCCUCCCACAGGCUUAUAGAGAGCUCUGUGCCUUCAGGAAUCUCCCGUUCCCAAGCUGUUGUGGUCAUUCUGGAUAAAGGAAAGUUCUUAGAAGUCCCAAAGGUGAAAGACAGACUGUGAUUUUACACACAUGCCUGCCCUUUCAGGGGUAUUUACAUUUCUCAAGAGACAGGACUCAUUUGUUGACCUUCAGGAAUGAAUCUCUUGGUGGAAAUAUUUCAUGUCUGGAUAGAGCUAGAGAGAUGCACAUGGCUCCCCUCAAAUUACACCAUAAAAUCCACACCUCACCUCACCUCACCUCCUCGUGAUCCCAGCCACCUUACCCGGACCCACAAAUGGAUCCUGGUCGAGCUUCACAAAAGUUGUGCGGAAAGAAGACGGCACAGGCCACACCGUGCGGCAUGCGGGAUCUUAGUUCCCCCACCAGGGACCGAACCCAUACCCCCUGCAGUGGAAGCACGGAGUUCUAACCACGGGACAGCCAGGGAAGUCCCAAUCCUGUUUGUUUGUUUUUUAAUUUUUAUCUUAUAUUAGAGUAUAGCUGAUUUACAAUGCUGUGUCCUGCUUUUGAAAAAUAAAUGGAAAAGUAUCUUACAGGAUUGAACCCACGCCCCCGGCAGUGAAAGCGCAGUCCUAAGCACUGGACCGCCACGGAAUUCCCUCUAUUUGCUUUUUUUCCCUUAAGAAGACUCUUCACUCCAUACCACCUGAACUGCAUCUUGUGUUUUGAAGGACAAAACAGACCGACCUUUAUCAAAGCUGGAGUCUUUCAUUUCAUCUAUAGAAUAAAAGCGGUCUGUGACUUGAAAAGCAUCAUAUUAAUUCUGUUAUCUCUUCAUCCAAGAGAAAUGUGGACAAGAAUAGACUCCAGGUCUAGCAUCUAGGGGGCAGUGUGUGCUAGGGGCUGACUUGUCCUCCUCAUCCCACCCCCCAGUUCCUUAUGUUGAAGUCCUAAUCCCCAGUGCCUCAGAAUGUGACUGGAUCUGGAGAUGUCUUUACAGAGGUGAUUAAGUUAAAAUGAUUAAGUUAAAAAUCCAAUCUGCCUGGAUUAGGGCCCAUCCUAAUCCUCCUUAUAAGAGAGAUUAGGACACAGACUUCUCACAGGGGACACAGGGAGAGGAUGGCCAUCUGUAGGCCACGGAGAGAGGCCUCAGGAGAAACCAAACCUGCCUACACUUUGAUCUUGGACUUCUAGCCUCCAGAACUGUGAGAAAUAAAUUUCUGUUCAAGCCA
Long non-coding RNA from Balaenoptera ricei (Rice's whale), 3360 nucleotides. RefSeq lists it as uncharacterized. The transcript is spliced from 3 exons. The record is from RefSeq and is a predicted model, not a curated record. NCBI's taxonomy places the organism in Eukaryota, Metazoa, Chordata, Mammalia, Artiodactyla, Balaenopteridae.